RNAcentral lists this ribosomal RNA (386 nucleotides) under uncultured bacterium. Its description in RNAcentral is "bacterial SSU rRNA". It matches the Rfam family "Bacterial small subunit ribosomal RNA", at positions 29 to 417 of the family's 1533-position model. The record is from RNAcentral.
AUUGAACGCUGGCGGCAUGCCUUACACAUGCAAGUCGAACGGCAGCACGGGGGCAACCCUGGUGGCGAGUGGCGAACGGGUGAGUAACACAUCGGAACGUGCCCAGUAGUGGGGGAUAGCUCGGCGAAAGCCGGAUUAAUACCGCAUACGACCUACGGGUGAAAGCGGGGGAUCGCAAGACCUCGCGCUAUCGGAGCGGCCGAUGUCAGAUUAGGUUGUUGGUGGGGAAAGGCCUACCAAGCCGACGAUCUGUAGCUGGUCUGAGAGGACGACCAGCCACACUGGGACUGAGACACGGCCCAGACUCCUACGGGAGGCAGCAGUGGGGAAUUUUGGACAAUGGGCGCAAGCCUGAUCCAGCCAUGCCGCGUGCGGGAAGAAGGCCU